AGUGAAGCGGGAUGAGCUCAAAUUUGAAAUCUGGCUGGUUUACUAGUCCGAGUUGUAAUUUAAAGAAGCGUUUUCGGUGGCAGCCUGGGUAUAAAUCCUUUGGAAUAGGGUAUCAUAGAGGGUGAGAAUCCCGUCUUUGACCUAGUGCAUGCUACUAUGUGAUACGUUUUCAAAGAGUCGAGUUGUUUGGGAAUGCAGCUCAAAAUGGGUGGUAAAUUUCAUCUAAAGCUAAAUAUUGGCGAGAGACCGAUAGCGAACAAGUACCGUGAGGGAAAGAUGAAAAGAACUUUGAAAAGAGAGUUAAACAGUGCGUGAAAUUGUUGAAAGGGAAACGUUUGACACCAGUCAUGUGGGUGGAAAAUCAGUCUUUUGCAUUGGGGAGUUGUAAGGGUUCGGACCGCAAGGCCGGCUUUUGCUUCAUCUUUGGUGUAAGUGAUGCACUUUUUCAUCUACAGGUCAACAUCAGUUUCUUUUGCUGGACAAAACUCCGAGAGAAGGUAGCAGCUUAGGCUGUGUUAUAGCUCUGGAGCGAUACAGUGAAGGGGACUGAGGUUUUCGCAGCGUGUGCUCUCGGGCAAGGCUGGAUGGGUGCUAUGGGAUCGUUCGGGGUACAAUGCCUGGCAUUUUGCUUCGUGUCUUUUCUAUACUCGCUCAACUCAGCUCUUCCACGCUUAGGAUGUUGACUUAAUGGUUUUAAACGACCCGUCUUGAAACACGGACCAAGGAGUCUAACAUAUAUGCAAGUGUUUGGGUGGCAAACCCAUGCGCGUAAUGAAAGUGAACGUAGGUGCGAUCCGCAAGGUGCAGCAUCGACCGAUCUUGAUAUUUUUGGAUAGAUUUGAGUAAGAGCAUAUAUGCUGGGACCCGAAAGAUGGUGAACUAUGCCUGAAUAGGGUGAAGCCAGAGGAAACUCUGGUGGAGGCUCGUAGCGAUUCUGACGUGCAAAUCGAUCGUCAAAUUUGGGUAUAGGGGCGAAAGACUAAUCGA
RNAcentral lists this ribosomal RNA (987 nucleotides) under Podila minutissima. Its description in RNAcentral is "eukaryotic LSU rRNA". It matches the Rfam family "Eukaryotic large subunit ribosomal RNA", at positions 92 to 938 of the family's 3401-position model. Lineage: Eukaryota; Fungi; Mortierellomycota; Mortierellomycetes; Mortierellales; Mortierellaceae. The record is from RNAcentral.